ACCCUGGCCGCCCUUGGCAGAGGAACAACGCAUAGUUGGUAAUUUUCAAGGAAUCUCAAUUUUCUUUGACUUCAGAUAGAGCUCACAGAGGACUGUGAUACCAUCAAGGACAGUGUGCAGUUCCCCCCAAUUUAACCUUCACGGAGGGAGAUGGUUCUGCUGCUCUUUAAAGGCACCGACUCUUGGGCUGGGUGUAUCAGUCCAUGUGGUUUACUUUGCUAGGCGAGAGUAUAUAUACUCACCCAUCCGCCAAAAUCGCUGUUUUGAUUUGAAAUUCCAAAAAUAACUCACAAGAAGCCGACGGUGUGAGCGGAAGAUGAUCACACACGGCUCCAGGGAGGAGAAGAGAAAGCAUUGGAUUUGAAUUACCUAAGAGCUGCAAUGGAGUGCAAACAUCUCCUUGUAGCAACUGCUAUAUAAUUAGCCAUCCUAAUAGAGUCCUUUCAAAACCAAGGCAGUUCCACAAGGAAGUUUAAUUGAAAAUAAAAUUUCCAGACCAACCAUUCUCUCAAAACCACAUUCAAUGAAGAUAGCACAGCAGUGACCAAAUCACCAGUUAAAAGGUAUUAUGUGUUUGGGGGGAGGGGGUGGGGGAGAGGGUGUGUGCUCCUUACAGGGGAAGCGUGGCAAGGUGCCAGGCUCCUUCCCCCCUGCCUCCCACCCCCCACCACUUUCUUGUGUCUUCCAGUCACUGGGCAAAAGGAUUCACUUCUCUUUGGUCAGUGUUAUUGCUGGGCUCCUCCCCUCUGUCAAGUGCUUCCCAGGAUCCUGAAAAGAAGAAGCCAGGAUUUAAAUCUCAGGAUACAGAGGAGAGAAGAGAGGAUGACCUAGUCCUCCAAACCCACUCAUCAAGAGCAGAAAAACCACGUUCAUCCAUGGGCUCACUGGGGACUGCAGUGACCGGAGGGGACCCUGACCACUUUGGACUUCCAUCUUUGUCACUUACUAGGUGUGAGACCUCCGCAGGACUUAACAUCUCUGAGUAGCAGUUUUUCCAUCUUAAAAAAAAAAAAGGAUUAUACUCGCUCACCUCACUGCAUGGGGAGCAAGAUGGACUGUGAUGCUGAACAUUCAAUGGCUGGUGGGUGAUGGAGCCAGAAUUGGCACGUGGGUGACCCAGUGCUCCACAGAGGGUGUCUGGUCCCCCCACAGUGGGAGGAGGGGUGGGAGGAGCACCAGGUGCCUCUUUGCUACUCAGAAUGGGUCGGCCGGAGUUCCCGUCGUGGCACAGUGGUUAACGAAUCCAACUAGAAACCAUGAGGUUGCGGGUUCGGUCCCUGCCCUUGCUCAGUGGGUUAAGGAUCCGGAGUUGCCGUGAGCUGUGGUGUAGGUCACAGAUGUGGCUCUGAUCUGGCGUUGCUGUGGCCGUGGCGUAGGCCAGCAGCUGAAGCUCUGAUUCGACUCCUAGCCUGGGCACUUCCAUAUGCUGCAGGUGCAGCCCUAAGAAGAAAAAAAAAGUCCAGCAUCCACUGAGAAUGUGUUUCCAUACAAAGUCUGCGCACACCUGAAGGACGAAGAGGGAGCACGCAGGCGUGGGAAGGAGAGCUGCAGUGUGGUAGAUGACAGCCUCAGGGCUCCGAAUACUCUUCACAAUUCUUCUUAACCUCCUUAGUAGCCCCUGGCCACCCUCGACUCUAUCGAUCCAGCCCUCAGGCGUCUAUGCAGACUGGGGCGUCCACUGCACACUUCUCUGCCCUCUGUCUGGCGAAUUCCCACACUUCUUUACAACUCAGCUUAAACACUGCCCCCCCCACCUCACCCCCCGGCAGGAGGCAUCCCCCUGCCUCCCAGAGCUGAUUCACUGCCUCUUCUUAUCUUUCCCAGACAACCAGUGAUGGCUCGAGCUGAGCCGCUUCAACACUAGUCUCUUCUUAGAAGCACAGCCUUUCAGGGAGUGGAGAGAAACACUGGGGCCGUGCCAGCCAAGGGAGGAAAGUCUGGCCUGGGAGAGGGGAGAGCUGGGGUGGACUGGACAGUGAAGGGGGUGAGGCCCCUGGGUGAUUUUUGCCUUGGCUUUCCCUUUCAAUUCCCUAGCCCGGCCCUGCCAAGCCAACCAAUUCUGUCAAAUCUUAUUUCUCAGGUGCCUGUGAUCCCAAGACACCGUGGUGCGGGAUUGCAACGCCACGGCCAUUCUUUGAGUGUUGGACCCAGGCAGGGAGGGAAGGCUUGGACGUGAGCAAUGUCAGAUAACAGUGGCAGAAUAGAGUGAAAGACAGCAGAACAGGACAGCAGAAAAGGGAUGGCCUGUGGGCACUGAAUGGUCUGGGUGCAGGGGGCAGGUGCCUGCAGGGGCUGCAAAGGGAAGUCCUCUGAGAACCGGCCCAAUGUCCAGGAGGAUGCAGGCUGGAUGGGGAAGGGGGACUGCAUGCGAACGGUCCACGAGGAGCCCCCGGAUUGGAGGCCAGAACAGAAGAAAACAUCAGGGAGUCUGGGAGGGUUAUCAGGGCCAGAAUUUUGAGGCCCUCGCAAGCCAGGCAGAGGGACAGUGCUGGGAAAACGGCGGUGAGAAAUGCAGAAAGCCGCGCAGCUGAUGAGAGGUGUUUAGGGGGAAAUGGGUCUGGGGGCGGCCCUUCGGGAGGCUGAGGCAAAGAACCCAGUUAGUAAACUCCUCCGAAAUCACAGCCGGGCAGGAGGCACAUGGUACUAGAGUCUCACGUCGUGUCCCCCCCCCCAACCCCCGUCAGCACGACUGACAUCAGCAGCUCACUGGCGCACACUUGCCCCUGACUCCAGGUGCAACUCCAGAGGGUUUUUUAGGCCACUCUGGGCUCCUGGCAGCCCCUACCGAUCCAUCCAGGGUGAUGGGUCAAAUCUCCCCGCCUUGCGGGUUCGAUCAGUCAGGCGAUGUUAUGGGGCACUGACACGCAUCCUCAAAUUCCAGUGGCUUAAAGCGGUGAAGGUUCAUCGCUCAUUCAGGCUACCUGUCCAUCACAGUUGACCAGAGAUGGCCGUCAGUGCCAGCACCGUCCAGACAGACUGACAGGGCAGCCCCUAUACAGGGCACUGCUGGGCACCAAGGCAGGGGAGAGGGAGGGAGAGAGAGAGAUACAUCUCUGGAAGGUCUCUCACUAGCGUUUCAUAUGAAAGCCUGAAAAGGCAUAUCCCUCUGUAUACCACUCAUUGGCCAGAACUGGUCACAGCAGGCAAGGCCGUGGAAUCUUAAUCUCCAAAAGGCAGAGAGUUAGAAAAAAAUAAAAGAAAGGCCUGGAGUUCACAUUGUGGUUCAGCAGGUUAAAAACGCGACGGGUAUCCAUGAGGAUGAGGGUUUGAUCCCUGGCCUUGCUCAGUCUGUUAAGGAUCAGGUGUGGCUGUGGUGUAGGCCACUGGCUACAGCCCUGAUUUGACCCCUAGCCUGGGAACGUCCAUAUGCCAUGGGUGUGGCCUUAAAAAAGAGAAAAAAAAAAAAAGAAAAAGAAAAAGAAAAAGAG
RNAcentral lists this long non-coding RNA (3428 nucleotides) under Sus scrofa (pig). RNAcentral describes it as "lncRNA (ENSSSCG00025056747.1)". The record is from RNAcentral. Lineage: Eukaryota; Metazoa; Chordata; Mammalia; Artiodactyla; Suidae.